CUACCUACCUGAAUGAGGGAGCAGCCGAGAACAAAAUUGAGGAAAGAAGAAGAAAGAAAUUGUAGCGAGUAGAGUGGGACAUUACAUGAACCAUUGAGCUCAAGCGCCAUCAACUUGUGCUGCUAGCUCAAUGGUGCCAAAAAAUGUUACCCAAAAGAGAACUUACGCAGAUUUUUCCCAUCGCCCAGUGGUUCUUAGGUGAGUUGUUAAGAAAUAAAAGCUAAAAUGAUUUGUUAAACUAAAAUGAUUUGUUAAGAAAUAAAGCUAAAAUAUAUUUUUAUGAUACAGAUUCAAAUUAUUCGAUGACAUUGAUAUUUUGGACUUGGAGACAUCAUGGAGUGUCGUUGUUAUGAUAGAUGUCAAGUUCCCUGUCCAGCCUCGUUAUCGUGAUAGCCAACACUUUAUCCUUAUGGAUACCUGUGUAAGUCACUUGUAUUAAUUGAUUCAUAUAGAGAAUAACAAUAGUGUAAUAAGAAAUUUUCAUCACUACAUAACAUUGGUUGUUAUUAAAUUUUAAAGGGGUCCAAAAUGGAAGCAAUUGCAUCGAACAACAACGUUGAAAGAUUCAAUGCUUUACUUGCUGAAGGAUGUGUUUAUACCUUACAUGAAGUAAGAUUCGAUCCUAACUGGGAGGAGGCGUUGCAAUUUCGAAAUAUUGGACAUCGAUAUGAGUGUGUCUUGAACAAUCGCACUAGGGUUGA
Long non-coding RNA from Phragmites australis (common reed), 701 nucleotides. RefSeq lists it as uncharacterized. The record is from RefSeq and is a predicted model, not a curated record. The transcript is spliced from 3 exons. Lineage: Eukaryota; Viridiplantae; Streptophyta; Magnoliopsida; Poales; Poaceae.